RNAcentral lists this long non-coding RNA (540 nucleotides) under Linum usitatissimum (flax). RNAcentral describes it as "long non-coding RNA (LUSI_LNC007346)". Lineage: Eukaryota; Viridiplantae; Streptophyta; Magnoliopsida; Malpighiales; Linaceae. The record is from RNAcentral.
AUGAUAUCAAGUUAGUACCACAUUUCCUGCCCUGUCUCCUUUCACUAUUUGUUCCACUAGGGACAAUGUCCUGUUCAAGUGUGGGUGAAGUAGGGUGUUUCUAAAUUCGGGUACGUAACUUGUGAGUAAUUAUGUUGAAUUGUUGUUCUUACUUUUCGAAACUCCCUCUUGAGUUUAGCUUGUGGAUAUUAGUGAAUGCAUGUUUAGUGUUCUCAUUCUAUUUGUAGAUGUCUUGGAUGUUAGGAUGUCAUUUUCAAACCACCUGGAUGUUAUGCCUAACUGUGUGGUUUGUUGAUUGACUUGCAAUCCUGGACACCAUGAUAGAAUUAAGGGCCUGGGCUUUGUCUUCUAAUCACCAUAUGUUGAGUUUUUUAUAGAGCGCCAUUAGUAGGUUUAAUUGAGGACAAGCAAACAUUUAAGUGUGGGGUGAUUUGAUGUGUUGGAUUAUCGACACAUUUGUUCUCGUCGUUAACUACAUUUUUGUGUGUUUAGAUGCCUCAACUUGAUCGAAUUCAUGAUGUUUAGUGGAUAUUUGGUUCC